CAGAUAAAAGAUGUUACUUCAGCUAAGUGUUUUUACCUGUCACCUGUCCUGGGAACGCAACACUGUUUACAAUGCUCUUCAUACUGGAAAUAAGAAUGCAGUGCCAUGGACUACUUGAACUGCUGCAUCGUGCUCGCUGACUGAUUGUUCAUGAAACAAGUGGUUGGAAUGUAGGAAGAUUAUCUACUGAGGAAUUGGAAGAAAUUUAAAUUUGAAGUUGUCUGGAAGAUUUGCAACUUGACGGAGGUAGUGUCCAGGAGACAAGAGCAAGAAGAUAGCUAGUAAUAAAUUUAUGGACAACCUUACAAGGGGAGUUUACAGAAAACUAACUUUGGAAGAAACUUGAGACUUCCUUAGUAUCUCAAUUCUCAAGAGCCACACAAGUUUUUCGAUGUUUUACCAAAACUUUGCCAUUCUUAGAGGGGUUUCAGAAUAAUGGUCUGAGAUUUAAGUAUACUGCAUAAUGCUAGUUUUUGUCAAGUUAAUCAAAAAGGUAUUGCUUUACAUUGGUGUAUAGUUUACCAGGCGUGUUUUUUUUUUUCCACUGCUUCUAGAUAUAGAAUUCAUAGGUAUGAUGUUGAAGUCAGUUAUGUUGUAGAAUUCAUAUAGCUCAUAUGAGGAAGCAAGAAGGAAUCAGGCUGCAGUUAAUUUUAGGUGGGUUUAGAACUUGACAGGUCUACGUACAAAGCUAGUGUGAUUUUCAACAAAUUUCUUCAUAUAUGGACUUAUAGUAUUGCUACGAAUAACUAGAUUCCGGGAGACAGGAAUGUAACUUUGCGAUUGUAUUAAUCAGUCUUGACGGAGGUUUGCAGUCUCCAAAUACUGUUUAGCUGCGAUUUUCGUGGUUUAAAACCAUUAACGCAAAUACUUGCCAAAGAACGUUUUUAUAUAUAUAUAUAUAAUUCCCUUUCUCCAGGCCAGUAAGGGCCUUUUGUAAAUAAAUAGC
Long non-coding RNA from Macrobrachium nipponense, 946 nucleotides. RefSeq lists it as uncharacterized. NCBI's taxonomy places the organism in Eukaryota, Metazoa, Arthropoda, Malacostraca, Decapoda, Palaemonidae. The record is from RefSeq and is a predicted model, not a curated record. The transcript has 3 exons.